Molecule: unclassified non-coding RNA, 334 nt
Filed under: Athalia rosae (coleseed sawfly)
Lineage: Eukaryota; Metazoa; Arthropoda; Insecta; Hymenoptera; Athaliidae
Description: misc RNA ENSAEAG00005006736.1
Source: RNAcentral
AAGACCGAUAUUUUACGCGGCGAUUGCCAUGGUGAAUUACAAGUUUAUAAAUUUUUAAAAACUUAACGGUCGCAUUCAAGUCAUUUUCAAAUUUCCCAAUCAGUGGUGAUUCAGACGAAGCACACGAAAUUUAUAUUUUGUUAAAGUGAUAUAAUUGAGACUGCAGAUCCGCCUCGUGUACUUACUGGGGAAAAACGAGGAUAUUCCAAGUUCGCCCGACAAUCGUGAUUGAUAUACGCAGCAGGACCCAGCCAAAGCUGAGCACAGUUCUUUCUGCAGCUAAACAUCACUGAGAAAUCAUUUUUGCCAGGGUGUAAUAAAGCUGCUUCUUCCU